AACGUAGGAGACGAGCGUUAUCCGGAUUUACUGGGCGUAAAGCGCGUGCAGGCGGCUUGGCAAGUUGGAUGUGAAAUCUCCCGGCUCAACUGGGAGGGGUCGUUCAAAACUACCGAGCUAGAGGAUGGUAGAGGAAGGUGGAAUUCCCGGUGUAGUGGUGAAAUGCGUAGAUAUCGGGAGGAACACCAGUGGCGAAAGCGGCCUUCUGGACCAUUCCUGACGCUCAGACGCGAAAGCUAGGGGAGCGAACGGG
This 253-nucleotide ribosomal RNA is filed under the name uncultured bacterium. RNAcentral describes it as "partial 16S ribosomal RNA". It matches the Rfam family "Bacterial small subunit ribosomal RNA", at positions 524 to 776 of the family's 1533-position model. The record is from RNAcentral. RNAcentral also lists the same sequence under 1 other name.